UAUAUAUAGACCAGGGCUGCUGUGCUCUCAGGAGCACGGAGACCUCCGUGCUCCUGAGCCGUUUUCGAUGAUAGAGUUUUCGAAUCGGCGAUCGGCUCCGUUAAACUUGAUCUAGCGUAUUUGAAGUUUCUAGAAAAUAAUUUUUGUGAUUUUUCGAUAUCAUUGACCUAGCAAUCAAAAGGAUUCAAAAUCAAUAAUUUUUAACGGCUGAAAAUAAAAAUCUUAUAAAAAGUGGUGAUAUAGCACUAAAAUUUUCGAUCAGGAAUAUUGAUCUUGUUGUAGAUAGUAUAAAAAAUUUUGUAUCAAAAUUUUAUCUGAUUUGAAUACUUCUACACCGUUAAACUUGAAAACGGCAGAUAUCAACCAUUAAAAA
RNAcentral lists this long non-coding RNA (373 nucleotides) under Ananas comosus (pineapple). RNAcentral describes it as "long non-coding RNA (ACOM_LNC038544)". Lineage: Eukaryota; Viridiplantae; Streptophyta; Magnoliopsida; Poales; Bromeliaceae. The record is from RNAcentral.